CCCCCAGCAAUGUCGAUGCCCAUCGGCCGAUCUGGCCUCAGGCGGCGCCAAAGCAAGCCAACCGAUCUGGCCCCAAGUGGUCGAGAAGCCCUCUGGCCGAUCCGCUUUUGGGCGGUGCCGAAGCCAUUCACUGGCGGACCCAAUCCUCGGCGGCGCCAAGGCCACCAGCAGGUGGCUCCGAAGCCCUCACAUAGGCCUAGCCUACCGACGACACUGAUCUCUACCUGCCAAGCCUUCGACCUCGCUCAGCUCGCGGCACCGAUUUCUCCCAAAUCUGGGCUCCUAAGGUUCACCCCCUUCACC
Molecule: long non-coding RNA, 303 nt
Filed under: Elaeis guineensis (African oil palm)
Lineage: Eukaryota; Viridiplantae; Streptophyta; Magnoliopsida; Arecales; Arecaceae
Description: long non-coding RNA (EGUI_LNC024120)
Source: RNAcentral